Molecule: ribosomal RNA, 491 nt
Filed under: marine sediment bacterium BB0608_AND_2.1_3S10
Lineage: Bacteria
Description: bacterial SSU rRNA
Rfam family: Bacterial small subunit ribosomal RNA
Source: RNAcentral
AGCUUGCUACCCGCUGACGAGCGGCGGACGGGUGAGUAAUGCAUAGGAAUCUGCCCGAUAGUGGGGGAUAACCUGGGGAAACCCAGGCUAAUACCGCAUACGUCCUACGGGAGAAAGGGGGCUCCGGCUCCCGCUAUUGGAUGAGCCUAUGUCGGAUUAGCUAGUUGGUAAGGUAAUGGCUUACCAAGGCAACGAUCCGUAGCUGGUCUGAGAGGAUGAUCAGCCACAUCGGGACUGAGACACGGCCCGAACUCCUACGGGAGGCAGCAGUGGGGAAUAUUGGACAAUGGGGGCAACCCUGAUCCAGCCAUGCCGCGUGUGUGAAGAAGGCCCUCGGGUUGUAAAGCACUUUCAGCGAGGAAGAACGCCUAUCGGUUAAUACCCGGUAGGAAAGACAUCACUCGCAGAAGAAGCACCGGCUAACUCCGUGCCAGCAGCCGCGGUAAUACGGAGGGUGCAAGCGUUAAUCGGAAUUACUGGGCGUAAAGCGC